Molecule: ribosomal RNA, 309 nt
Filed under: uncultured bacterium
Lineage: Bacteria
Description: bacterial SSU rRNA
Rfam family: Bacterial small subunit ribosomal RNA
Source: RNAcentral
GACGAACGCUGGCGGCGUGCCUAACACAUGCAAGUCGAACGGAGCAGAUCCCUUCGGGGGUUUGCUUAGUGGCGAACGGGUGAGUAACGCGUGAGGAACCUCCCUUUCAGUGGGGGACAACAGUUGGAAACGACUGCUAAUACCGCAUAAUGCAUCAAUUUCGCAUGUUAUUGAUGCCAAAGGAGCAAUCCGCCUUUAGAUGAGCUCGCGUCUGAUUAGCUAGUUGGCGGGGUAACGGCCCACCAAGGCGACGAUCAGUAGCCGGACUGAGAGGUUGAACGGCCACAUUGGGACUGAGACACGGCCCAG